GAUGAACGCUGGCGGCGUGCUUAAUACAUGCAAGUCGAACGAAGUUUGUAGCAAUACAUUCUUAGUGGCGAACGGGUGAGUAACGCGUUGGUGACCUGCCCCGAAGAGGGGGAUAACAGUCCGAAAGGACUGCUAAUACCCCAUGUGAUCCCCGGUUUUAGAAUCUGGUGAUUAAAGGCGAAAGUCGCUUCGGGAGGGGCCUGCGUCCCAUCAGCUAGUUGGUAGGGUAAUGGCCUACCAAGGCUAUGACGGGUAGGGGACCUGAGAGGGUGGCCCCCCACAAUGGAACUGAAACACGGUCCAUACACCUACGGGUGGCAGCAGUAGGGAAUAUUGGUAAUGGGCGAAAGCCUGAACCAGCAACGCCGCGUGUGCGAUGAAGGCCUUCGGGUCGUAAAGCACUUUUUGGAGGGAUGAGGAAGGACAGUACCUCCAGAAUAAGCCUCGGCUAACUACGUG
Molecule: ribosomal RNA, 459 nt
Filed under: uncultured bacterium
Lineage: Bacteria
Description: bacterial SSU rRNA
Rfam family: Bacterial small subunit ribosomal RNA
Source: RNAcentral